UACGGAAGGUAGCAGUGGGGAAUAUUGCACAAUGGGCGAAAGCCUGAUGCAGCUAUGCCGCGUGUAUGAAGAAGGCCUUAGGGUUGUAAAGUACUUUCAUCGGGGAGGAAAAACAAAACUAAUAAUUUUAUUUCUUGACGUUACCCGAAAAAGAAGCACCGGCUAACUCCGUGCCAGCAGCCGCGGUAAUACGGAGGGUGCUAGCGUUAAUCAGAAUUACUGGGCGUAAAGAGCACGUAGGUGGUUUUUUUAAGUCAGAUGUGAAAUCCCUGGGCUUAACCUGGAACUGCAUUUUGAAACUGAAAUACUAGAGUAUCGUAGAGGGAGGUAGAAUUCUAGGUGUAGCGGUGAAAUGCGUAGAUAUCUGGAGGAAUACCUGUGGCGAAAGCGGCCUCCUAAACGAAUACUGACACUGAGGUGCGAAAGCGUGGGGAGCAAACAGGGAUUAGAUACC
Molecule: ribosomal RNA, 454 nt
Filed under: uncultured bacterium
Lineage: Bacteria
Description: bacterial SSU rRNA
Rfam family: Bacterial small subunit ribosomal RNA
Source: RNAcentral